This 21-nucleotide non-coding RNA is filed under the name Caenorhabditis elegans. The record is from RNAcentral. Lineage: Eukaryota; Metazoa; Nematoda; Chromadorea; Rhabditida; Rhabditidae.
UAGACUGAAAAAAUUUUUUUU